Molecule: ribosomal RNA, 642 nt
Filed under: Enterobacter sp. DJM4B6
Lineage: Bacteria; Pseudomonadati; Pseudomonadota; Gammaproteobacteria; Enterobacterales; Enterobacteriaceae
Description: bacterial SSU rRNA
Rfam family: Bacterial small subunit ribosomal RNA
Source: RNAcentral
UUCCGGAGCUAACGCGUUAAGUCGACCGCCUGGGGAGUACGGCCGCAAGGUUAAAACUCAAAUGAAUUGACGGGGGCCCGCACAAGCGGUGGAGCAUGUGGUUUAAUUCGAUGCAACGGAAGAACCUUACCUACUCUUGACAUCCAGAGAACUUAGCAGAGAUGCUUUGGUGCCUUCGGGAACUCUGAGACAGGUGCUGCAUGGCUGUCGUCAGCUCGUGUUGUGAAAUGUUGGGUUAAGUCCCGCAACGAGCGCAACCCUUAUCCUUUGUUGCCAGCGGUNNGGCCGGGAACUCAAAGGAGACUGCCAGUGAUAAACUGGAGGAAGGUGGGGAUGACGUCAAGUCAUCAUGGCCCUUACGAGUAGGGCUACACACGUGCUACAAUGGCGCAUACAAAGAGAAGCGACCUCGCGAGAGCAAGCGGACCUCAUAAAGUGCGUCGUAGUCCGGAUUGGAGUCUGCAACUCGACUCCAUGAAGUCGGAAUCGCUAGUAAUCGUAGAUCAGAAUGCUACGGUGAAUACGUUCCCGGGCCUUGUACACACCGCCCGUCACACCAUGGGAGUGGGUUGCAAAAGAAGUAGGUAGCUUAACCUUCGGGAGGGCGCUUACCACUUUGUGAUUCAUGACUGGGGUGAAGUC